UACAGAGGUCUCAAGCGUUGUUCGGAUUCAUUGGGCGUAAAGGGUGCGUAGGUGGUGACGCAAGUCUGGUGUGAAAUCUCGGAGCUCAACUCCGAAAUUGCACCGGAUACUGCGUGACUCGAGGACUGUAGAGGAGAUCGGAAUUCACGGUGUAGCAGUGAAAUGCGUAGAUAUCGUGAGGAAGACCAGUUGCGAAGGCGGAUCUCUGGGCAGUUCCUGACACUGAGGCACGAAGGCCAGGGGAGCAAACGGGAUUAGAAACCCCCGUAGUCC
This 273-nucleotide ribosomal RNA is filed under the name uncultured bacterium. Its description in RNAcentral is "partial 16S ribosomal RNA". It matches the Rfam family "Bacterial small subunit ribosomal RNA", at positions 524 to 796 of the family's 1533-position model. The record is from RNAcentral.